Molecule: ribosomal RNA, 253 nt
Filed under: uncultured bacterium
Lineage: Bacteria
Description: partial 16S ribosomal RNA
Rfam family: Bacterial small subunit ribosomal RNA
Source: RNAcentral
UACGUAGGGCGCAAGCGUUAUCCGGAAUUAUUGGGCGUAAAGAGCUCGUAGGCGGUCUGUCGCGUCGAAUGUGAAAACCCGGGGCUCAACUCCGGGCUUGCAUUCGAUACGGGCAGGCUAGAGUUCGGUAGGGGAGUCUGGAAUUCCUGGUGUAGCGGUGAAAUGCGCAGAUAUCAGGAGGAACACCGGUGGCGAAGGCGGGUCUCUGGGCAGUAACUGACGCUGAGGAGCGAAAGCGUGGGGAGCGAACAGG